CAUCCCGUGUAAGGGGAAGGAAAGCCUCGCCUACAGUGUUGCUGGCACACGAGUAGCCAAGGACAAAGAAUGGAUGAAACUGCCUCUUUGAGGAGCACCUUGAACUUACUGUGGAUUAAAAUGAGUAUGUAACUGUGGCCCUAAUGAUUCCACAUAACC
RNAcentral lists this long non-coding RNA (159 nucleotides) under Struthio camelus australis. RNAcentral's name for it is "lncRNA (ENSSCUG00000010717.1)". Lineage: Eukaryota; Metazoa; Chordata; Aves; Struthioniformes; Struthionidae. The record is from RNAcentral.